GGUGUGUGUGUGUCGUCAUGGAAAACCGUGAGCCAUCCAGGCGGCAGCUCGGCUUGGGAACUCGGGACAGAGUUUCAAACAGCGGAUUUGGGUGGAUUUUCAUCAAGAGACCCAGGGCCAUGGAAAAUUACACUGAGCACGUGCUGGCUGCCAGCUUCUUCCAUCAGAAAAUAAGGAUGGCAGACUGCGUCCAUACAUAAACUACAGUCGUCUACUUUAGAGCAGAUAAAGCAGAAACCGAAAGAAAAAGGCAUGUUGGAGAACACCACAGUGACCUGGAGGGUGCAGCCAGAUGGAAACAUCUUCCAGAAGAUAAACAAUCUUUCUCAAAAUAAAACAUCUUCCAGAAGAAAAACGAAGAUGAUCUGUAAUGUAAAGUAGAUUGCAAACAGAAAUUUUGUUCACAGCAUGACUUUUAACAACUUUUAAUCAGUAGGAGGAUUAUAGGAGGAUUAGAUUCAUGAUUAAUAUCCAGCUUUUCCUGCAAUUGGCCACCUGACAUGUUAAAACAUGUUAAAAUACUCUAUAACUGGGUUUAAUGUAUCAGUGUGUCAUAGCAGAAUAUUCUUCAUAUAGAAUAUAGAACCUGUUAAUAAACUC
This is a long non-coding RNA of Hemibagrus wyckioides, 600 nucleotides long. RefSeq lists it as uncharacterized. The transcript is spliced from 3 exons. The record is from RefSeq and is a predicted model, not a curated record. NCBI's taxonomy places the organism in Eukaryota, Metazoa, Chordata, Actinopteri, Siluriformes, Bagridae.